GUUGAAACACCUGUUUUUGUACGAUCACUAAAAUUAAGCAACGUCGAGCGUGGUCAGUACUUGGACGGGUAAACGCUUGGGAAUACCACCUGCUGUAAG
Non-coding RNA from Acanthosepion pharaonis, 99 nucleotides. The record is from the annotation of a GenBank genome assembly. NCBI's taxonomy places the organism in Eukaryota, Metazoa, Mollusca, Cephalopoda, Sepiida, Sepiidae.